This 71-nucleotide transfer RNA is filed under the name Ochthebius perpusillus. Its description in RNAcentral is "tRNA-Lys". Lineage: Eukaryota; Metazoa; Arthropoda; Insecta; Coleoptera; Hydraenidae. The record is from RNAcentral.
CAUUAGAUGGCUGAAAGUAAGCUCUGGUCUCUUAAACCAUUUUAUAAUAGAUUAACAACUAUUUCUAAUGA